RNAcentral lists this ribosomal RNA (1343 nucleotides) under uncultured bacterium. RNAcentral describes it as "16S ribosomal RNA". It matches the Rfam family "Bacterial small subunit ribosomal RNA", at positions 28 to 1378 of the family's 1533-position model. The record is from RNAcentral.
GACGAACGCUCGUUGCGUGCUUAACACAUGCAAGUCGAACGGAAAGGCCCUGCUUUUGUGGGGUGCUCGAGUGGCGAACGGGUGAGUAACACGUGAGUAACCUGCCCUUGACUUUGGGAUAACUUCAGGAAACUGGGGCUAAUACCGGAUAGGAGCUCCUGCUGCAUGGUGGGGGUUGGAAAGUUUCGGCGGUUGGGGAUGGACUCGCGGCUUAUCAGCUUGUUGGUGGGGUAGUGGCUUACCAAGGCUUUGAUGGGUAGCCGGCCUGAGAGGGUGACCGGCCACAUUGGGACUGAGAUACGGCCCAGACUCCUACGGGAGGCAGCAGUGGGGAAUAUUGCACAAUGGGCGGAAGCCUGAUGCAGCAACGCCGCGUGCGGGAUGACGGCCUUCGGGUUGUAAACCGCUUUCGCCUGUGACGAAGCGUGAGUGACGGUAAUGGGUAAAGAAGCACCGGCUAACUACGUGCCAGCAGCCGCGGUGAUACGUAGGGUGCGAGCGUUGUCCCGAUUUAUUGGGCGUAAAGGGCUCGUAGGUGGUUGAUCGCGUCGGAAGUGUAAUCUUGGGGCUUUACCCUGAGCGUGCUUUCGAUACGGGUUGACUUGAGGAAGUUAGGGGAGAAUGGAGUUCCUGGUGGAGCGGUGGAAUGCGCAGAUAUCAGGAGGAACACCAGUGGCGAAGGCGGUUCUCUGGGCCUUUCCUGACGCUGAGGAGCGAAAGCGUGGGGAGCGAACAGGCUUAGAUACCCUGGUAGUCCACGCUGUAAACGGUGGGUACUAGGUGUGGGGUCCAUUCCACGGGUUCCGUGCCGUAGCUAACGCUUUAAGUACCCCGCCUGGGGAGUACGGCCGCAAGGCUAAAACUCAAAGGAAUUGACGGGGCCCCGCACAAGCGGCGGAGCAUGCGGAUUAAUUCGAUGCAACGCGUAGAACCUUACCUGGGUUUGACAUGGAUCGGGAGUGCUCAGAGAUGGGUGUGCCUCUUUUGGGGUCGGUUCACAGGUGGUGCAUGGCUGUCGUCAGCUCGUGUCGUGAGAUGUUGGGUUAAGUCCCGCAACGAGCGCAACCCUUGUUCACUGUUGCCAGCACGUUAUGGUGGGGACUCAGUGGAGACCGCCGGGGUCAACUCGGAGGAAGGUGGGGAUGACGUCAAGUCAUCAUGCCCCUUAUGUCCAGGGCUUCACGCAUGCUACAAUGGCUGGUACAGAGAGUGGCGAGCCUGUGAGGGUGAGCGAAUCUCGGAAAGCCGGUCUCAGUUCGGAUUGGGGUCUGCAACUCGACCUCAUGAAGUCGGAGUCGCUAGUAAUCGCAGAUCAGCAACGCUGCGGUGAAUACGUUCCCGGG